Molecule: ribosomal RNA, 528 nt
Filed under: Symbiodinium sp. CCMP2430
Lineage: Eukaryota; Dinophyceae; Suessiales; Symbiodiniaceae
Description: partial Bacterial large subunit ribosomal RNA
Rfam family: Bacterial large subunit ribosomal RNA
Source: RNAcentral
GGUGGAUGCCUUGGCGACAAGAGGCGAUGAAAGACGUGAUACGCUGCGAUAAGCCAUGGGGAGCUGCGAAUAAGCUUUGAUCCGUGGAUUUCUGAAUGGGGCAACCCACUCCGUAUGGAGUACCCUUUAAUGGGAGCAAACCCGGGGAACUGAAACAUCUAAGUACCCGGAGGAAAGGACAGCAAUAGCUACUCCCCUAGUAGUGGCGAGCGAACGGGGACCAGCCGAGCCUUGAGAGUGACCAGAAUGUGCUGGAAAGCACAGCCAUAGCGGGUGACAGCCCCGUAUGGGAAGCUCGAUGGGACGUAUCAAGUAGGGCGGGACACGUGAAAUCCUGUCUGAAGAUCGGAGGACCACCUUCGAAGGCUAAGUACUCCUUACUGACCGAUAGUGAACCAGUACCGUGAGGGAAAGGUGAAAAGCACCCCGACGAGGGGAGUGAAACAGUACCUGAAACCGAACGCCUACAAUCAGUCGGAGCCUCCUUGCGAGGUGACGGCGUACCUUUUGUAUAAUGGGUCAGCGACU